UGUGCUCUGUGGUGAACUGCACAGUCAAUGGGCCGGCUUUGAUGUCGAAACCUGCUCUCUGCCUCUGCUAGCUGGGUGGCCUCGGACAAACUGCUCCACCAGCCAAGGUGUUCUGAGCCCUAGUGAGCCAGCAGCAGGCACUCUCCUGGUAAUGGCAGCCAGAGAGAGAACACAGAUCUCUGAUCCAGUAUGAAAUAGGGCACGAAGCUUCGUCGUAAGCUGACACAAGGAGACCGUGUGGCUACAGGCCUGAGAGGGAAAGAAGGAUGAAGAAAGUCAAACGACGACAGUGAGAAGACACAGCCUGAGUAGGGGAAACUUGUUAAACCCAGGUGCAGUCACCUAAGGAAUUUCCACACUUAGGUUUUUAAAAGGUAUGUCUGUGUAACACAUACAUGCAGGGCUUAAGAAGGCCAGAAGACGAUGCUGUACUUCCUGGGACUGGAGUAACAGACGGUUGCCAGCCACCAGGAGGGUGUUGGGUAUCAAAUCUGACCCUGAGAGAGAGCAGCCAGCACUCUUAAGCACGGAACAUCUCCCAGCCACAGAGGUAACUUCCUGCCCAUCCUAAUGAGAACCAGGAAAACUUUAAAAGAACACAGUGUGGUAAUAUAAACUUUAAUUCCAGCAACUGAGAGGCAGAGGUGGGUGGAUCUCUGUGUGUUCCAGGACAGACAAGGCUACAAAGUGAGACCCGUUAAGAAUAUUUAAAAAUCUCCCUCUGACUUCACAAACUACAGUUGUAACUCUCCACAUCUGUGGGUGGGACCAGAGCAAGUUGUAAGGUGACAUAUGAGAGUCACCUGUGAAAGGGGCUGGUGUAGCACUUCAGCUCCUUGCCAUGUCUUUGCUGUGGGCACCAACAUCUAUUUAAAAGUCUCAAACUGAUAUUUUUGUGGCUCUACUGAAAGUCUCGAUUUUGAGGAACUGCUGCGAGUCACCAAGUCCUAAUACCCCAAUCUACAUUUCGAAUCUCCUGAAAAGUGAAUAUUUUGACAUAACUUGGAUUCAGAGGAAAAGAUUUACAGACCCUCAGUGUCCAUUUAGGCUCCUUAACUCUAGUCCUCUCCAGUUUUACAGAUCCCAAGUCAUUUAUUACACAGUUUGAGUGUUGUAGCUUUUCCUGGUUGUGGUUCAUCUCCCACAGGCUUCAUCCCUGUGUUAGGACAGAGCAUGGGGAUAUUGCAAGAUUACUCCUAGAAAGGCCAAAUCUGCCUCCUCCCUCCCGCCAUUGCUAGAAUUGAUCACCACAUACCUUAUUGAAUUGAUUUUCCAUCAUGACCAAUUUUAUUCUAUAGGUAGCAGUUCUUUGUGAGAGCCCUCUGUAGAUCAGAAAGGCAGGGUCCUCUGUCUCCCUUCUGGCGGCUCAUCAAAAUGGUUGACAAAAUUAGGGGUAGAGAGAUGCUCAGUGGCUAAGAGCACUUGCUGCUCUUGCAGAAGACCCAGGUUCUGUCUCCAACACCCACGUGCUGACUCACGUUUUGGGGAUCUGGUGCUAUUUUUUGGCCUCCCACGUUUUGGGGAUCUGGUGCUAUUUUUUGGCCUCCCAAGGAACCAGACAUACAUGUGAUACACAUACUUACA
Molecule: long non-coding RNA, 1584 nt
Organism: Mus musculus (house mouse)
Lineage: Eukaryota; Metazoa; Chordata; Mammalia; Rodentia; Muridae
Product: predicted gene, 51625
Exons: 3
Source: RefSeq, a predicted model, not a curated record